Long non-coding RNA from Salvelinus fontinalis (brook trout), 5432 nucleotides. RefSeq lists it as uncharacterized. NCBI's taxonomy places the organism in Eukaryota, Metazoa, Chordata, Actinopteri, Salmoniformes, Salmonidae. The transcript has 2 exons. The record is from RefSeq and is a predicted model, not a curated record.
UCAGCACGAUAGGCACACAUGGGUAGAAUUGCUCGUUUUCAGAUUUAAGAAAAUAUAGCUAAAGUUGCGUCAUUGACAUUGUAAAAGAGAUACACACCAUUGCGUUGGUAUGCCCCGUUGCACAUCAUGAAAUAAAGAAAAAAAGGUCGACUUUGACAGACUGAGCAGUACACUAAGUAGACUACCACUGGAAGAACGGGAAAACAACAACUCAGUAAGGUCUUGGACAGGACACACCAGACAGGACCCACCGGACCUACAGCCGUCUUGGGUAGUGCACAUCCCAGGCUGGCAAACCUGGAUAGGGUGUUCGAAAGGUGACAUUCAAUUGAAAUCCACCCUACUCCUGGUCAUUUAUUAUGACUAAAUAUGAUCAGUCUGACAUAAUUCUAUUUAUAACUGCAUAAUAUCAUACUUUAGCAAAUGUGAUGGGUAGCCAGGCUGAAACUCCCUGUGACAGUCAGUCCAACACCUUUGUCCAAGGCUGUCAAACUAAAUUCCUGGAGAACCGCAUGAUUACUGGGUUAUUUCCUUUCAAUUAAUGUUAAAUGAAGAUCUACGUAUGUAUCUAUGUAUGUAUAUAUAUAUAUAUAUAUAUAUAUAUAUAUAUAUAUAUAUAUAUAUAUACAAUUGAAGUCGGAAGUUUACAUACACUUAGGUAGGAGUCAUUCAAACUUGUUUUUCAACCACUCCACAGAUUUCUUGUUAACAACUAUAGUUUUGGAAAGUCGGUUAGGACAUCUACUUUGUGCAUGACAAAAGUAAUUUUUCCAACAAUUGUUUACAGACAGAUUAUUUCACUUAUAAUUCACUGUAUCACAAUUCCAGUGGGUAAAAAGUUUACAUACACUGAGUAGACUGUGCCUUUAAACAGCUUGGAAAAUUCCAGAAAAUUAUGUCAUGGCUUUAGAAGCUUCUGAUAGGCUAAUUGACAUAAUUUGAGUCAAUUGGAGAUGUACCUGUGGAUGUAUUUCAAGUCCUACCUUCAAACUCAGUGCCUCUGCUUGACAUCAUGGGAAAAUCAAAAGAAGUCAGCCAGGACCUCAACAAAAAGAAUUGUAGACCUCCACAAGUCUGGUUCAUCCUUGGGAGCAGUUUCCAAACGCCUGAAGGUACCACAUUCAUAUGUAUAAACAAUAGUACGCAAGUAUAAAGACCAUGGGACCACGCAGCCAUCAUACCGCUCAGGAAGGAUAUGCGUUCUGUCUCCUAGAGAUGAACGUACUUUGGUGCGAAAAGUGCAAAUCAAUCACAGAACAACAGCAAAGGACCUUGUGAAGAUGCUGGAGGAAACAGGUACAAAAGUAUCUAUAUCCACAGUAAAACGAGUCCUAUAUCGACAUAACCUGAAAGGCCGCUCGGCAAGGAAGAAGCCACUGCUCCAAAACCGCCAUAAAAAGCCAGACUACGGUUUGCAACUGCACAUGGGGAGAAAGAUUGUACUUUUUGGAGAAAUGUCCUCUGGUCUGAUGAAACAAAAAUAUAACUUUUUGGCCAUAAUGACCACCGUUAUGUUUGGAGGAAAAAGGGGGAGGCUUGCAAGCUGAAGAACACCAUCCCAACCGUGAAGCACAGGGGUGGCAGCAUCAUGUUGUGGGGGUGCUUUGCUGCAGCAGGGACUGGUGCACUUCACAAAACAGAUGGCAUCAUGAGGGAGGAAAAUUAUGUGGAUAUAUUGAAGCAACAUCUCAAGACAUCAGUCAGGAAGUUAAAGCUUGGUCGCAAAUGGGUCUUCCAAAUGGACAAUGACCCCAAGCAUACUUCCAAAGUUGUGGCAAAAUGGCUUAAGGACAACAAAGUCAACGUAUUGGAGUGGCAAACACAAAUCCUUGACCUCAAUCCUAUAGAAAAUUUGUGGGCAGAACUGAAAAAGCGUGUGCGAGCAAGGAGGCCUACAAACCUGACUUAGUUACACCAGCUUUGUCAGGAGGAAUGGGCCAACUUUCACCUAACUUAUUGUGAGAAGCUUGUGGAAGGCUACCUGAAACGUUUGACCCAAGUUAAACAAUUUGAAGGCAAUGCUACCAAAUACUAAUUGAGUGUAUGUAAACUUCUGACCCACUGGGAAUGUGAUGAAAGAAAUAAAAGCUGAAAUAAGUCAUUCUCUCUACUAUUAUUCUGACAUUUCACAUUCUUAAAAUAAAGUGGUGAUCCUAACUGACCUAAGACAGGGAAUUUUUUACUAGGAUUCAUUGUCAGGAUUUGUGAAAAACUGAGUUGAAAUGUAUUUGGCUAAGGUGUAUGUAAACUUCCGAAUUAUUUUAUAUUUGAGAUUCUUCAAAUAGCCACCCUUUGCCUUGAGGACAUCUUUGCACACUCUUGGCAUUCUCUCAACCAGCUUCACCUGGAAUGCUUUUCCAACAGUCUUGAAGGAGUUCCCACAUAUGCUGAGCAAUUCAGAUGGGAUGUCGUAUCGCUGCAGUGUGCUGUGGUAGCCUUGCUGGUUACGUGUGCCUUGAAUUCUAAAUUAAUCAUAGACAGUGUCACCAGCAAAGCACCCCCACACCAUAACACCUCCUCCUCCAUGCUUUAUGGUGGGAAAUACACAUGUGGAGAUUAUCCGUUCACCCACACAGCGUCUCACAAAGACACGGUGGUUGGAACCAAAAAUAUCACAUUUGGACUCAUAAAACCAAAGGACAGAUGUCUAAUGUCCAUUGCUGGUGUUUCUUGGCCCAAGCAAGUGUCUUCUUCUUAUUGGUGUCUUUUAGUAGUGGUUUCUUUGCAGCAAUUCGACAAUGAUGUCCUGAUUCACACAGUCUCCUCUGAACAGUUGAUGUUGAGAUGUGUCUUGUUGCACCCUCGACAACUACUGUGAUUAUUAUUAUUUGACCAUGCUGGUCAUUUAUGAACAUUUGAACAUCUUGGCCAUGUUCUGUUAUAAUCUCCACCCGGCACAGCCAGAAGAGGACUGGCCACCCCUCAUAGCCUGGUUCCUCUCUAGGUUUCUUCCUAGGUGUUGGCCUUUCUAGGGAGUUUUUCCUAGCCACCGUGCUUCUACACCUGCAUUGCUUGCUGUUUGGGGUUUUAGGCUGGGUUUCUGUACAGCACUUUGAGAUAUCAGCUGAUGUAAGAAGGGCUAUAUAAAUACAUUUGAUUUGAUUUGAUCUUGAACUCUGUGAAGCAUUUAUUUGGGCUGCAAUCUGAGGUGCAGUUAACUUAAUGAACUUAUCCUCUGCAGCAGAGGUAACUCUGGGUCUUGCUUUCCUGUGGCGGUCCUCAUGAGAGCCAGUUUAAUCAUAGUGCUUGAUGGUUUUUGCGACUCCACUUGAAGAAACGUUCAAAGCUCUUGACAUUUUCCAGAUUGACAAACGUUCAUGUCUUAAAGUAAUGAUGGACUGUCUUUGCUCUUAGCUUAUGUGAGCUGUUCUUGCCAUAUAAUGGACUUGGUCUUAUACCAAAUAGGGCUAUCUUCUGUACACCACCCGACCUUGUCACAACACAACUGAUUGGCUCAAACACAUUAAGAAGAAAAGAUACUCCACAAAUUAACUUUUAGCAAGGCACACCUGUUAAUUGAAAUCCAUUCCAGGUGACUACCUCAUGAAGCUGUUUGAGAGAAUGCCAAGAGUGUGCAAAUCUGUCAUCAAGGCAAAGGGUGGCUACUUUAAAGAAUCUCAAGUAUGUGUUAUUUCAUAGUUUUGAUGUCUUCACUAUUUUUCUACAAUGUAGAAAAUAGUCCAAAUAAAGAAAAACCCUUGAAUGAGUAGGUGUGUCGAAACGUUUGACUGGUACUGUAUAUAAAACUCUUCUGACGUCAAAUCUCGUACAACCAAAUACUUCUCUGAAUCUGCCACCACCAACUCUAUUUUUUGUGACUUACAUUCCAUCCCUGCGGUAUGGUUGAUAACUAUUGCUAUGAACGCUAUAUAAAGCUAAUCUUGCUGAAGCAUAUACUGUAUCACUCAUUGGCCUAUCCCUCUGUGCUGGCACAGAUCUACUACUCACACAAAUCCUCUCAGGAUCCCUUCCCCUUGUUCUCCCUAUCUGCAAGCAUAACUCAUGUAAAUUCAACCAACCAAUAGGAAUACAUAAACAUCGAAUACAUAAGUGUUUUUUGGGGAGAUUAGUCAUUAUUAGAAAAGUUUGGUCCAAAUCUGAUUUGUUAAAUAUUAUGUUUAAUCCUAUAAAUUAAAAUGGCCAGUUUGGGUGCAAUCAAUUAGCUUAAUUUCUCAGAGAUCAAAUUAUAUUUAAACAAAAUAAUGUUGCAGUAAUGCUAAUCUGAUCUGUUUCUAACUACAGAAACAGUUUCAGAACAAUCUGAGAUAGUGCGUGUUGUAGUUCUCUUUCUGGUGAUUUUUGAGGUGGAACGACUCUCUCUCUGUCCAUUUCAAUUAAAUGGGCUUGUAGAAAUACAAACACAGGCAUAAUAUUGCUAAUAAACUUUCUCACGGUUCUCAUACUAAGACUGACCUCAGUGUUCCUGGGUGAAAGACGUUACAGGGUUGUUUUGAAGGAAGCAGAGUUUCACAGCCUCUCUCUGCCCGCUCAAGUCUUCUCAAAUUAACAUGGGCUGAAACAUACUGCUCCACGAACACAUAAACGUAGGCACACACACGCACACACACACACGCGCACACGCACACACACACACACACACACAUCCACAAACUUUCACAUUACACAUUACAUUGCCCUUACAAAGCGCUGCUCUGAGUGCCUGCAGUCUAUUGACACAGUACUGAAACUAGAGACAAAUAACACAACCACCACUUGAGAUAGGAGCUCAAUUAAUGAGAAACUUUACUUCUGUUGGCAAAGGGGCUUUCUGUUUUAAUGACUUGCUGUAGUGUGCAAGGGCUCAGACUUAGAGCUCUCUUUAUUCAUUCUGUCCUUUUAAUGCGUCAAAGGGUUACUGUGUCGACAAUAUUUCAGCGGUGACUUUCAUACUCAGAGAAAUAGAAAGUGUAUAGCCAGCCAAAGGCUACCUGCUUAUUUGAUAUACAGCUAACACACUACUUACGCUAAUGCUUUGCUACACCUUUAGAAAAAAAGAUGCUAAGUAGAACCAUAUUGUCACGUUCCUGACCUGUGUUCUGUUGUUUUGUAUGUGUGUGAUGGUCAGGGCGUGAGUUUUGGGUGGGCAGUCUAUGUUUUCUGUUUCUAUGUUGGUUUUGGGUUGCCUGGUAUGGCUCUUAAUUAGAGGCAGGUGUUUUGCGUUUUCCUCUAAUUGAGAGUCAUAUUAAGGCAGGGUGUUCUCACUGUUUGUUUGUGGGUGAUUGUCGUCCGUGUCUGUGUCUGCGCACCACACGGGACUGUAGCGUUUGUUCGUUCGUUUGUUAUAGUCUGUACCUGUUCCUACGUGCUUCGUGUUUUAUGUAAGUACUCUCGUUCAGGUCUGUCUAUUUCGUUUUGUUGUUUUGUAAAUUUAUCAAGUGUUCUUCGUGUGUUUAGUUUCGUCUGGUUAAUAAAGUAUCAUUAUGUAUUCACAA